RNAcentral lists this ribosomal RNA (254 nucleotides) under uncultured bacterium. RNAcentral's name for it is "partial 16S ribosomal RNA". It matches the Rfam family "Bacterial small subunit ribosomal RNA", at positions 335 to 601 of the family's 1533-position model. The record is from RNAcentral.
UUUCCUACGGGACGCAGCAGUCGAGAGUCAUUCACGAUGGGGGAAACCCUGAUGGUGCGACGCCGCGUGGGGGAAUGAAGGUCUUCGGAUUGUAAACCCCUGUCAUGUGGAGCAAAUUAAAAAGAUAGUACCACAAGAGGAAGAGACGGCUAACUCUGUGACAGCAGCCGCGGUAAUACAGAGGACUCAAGGGUUGUUCGGAAUCCCUGGGCGUAAAGCGUGCGUAGGCUGUUUCGUAAGUCGUGUGUGAGAGG